Molecule: ribosomal RNA, 1172 nt
Filed under: Leuconostoc carnosum
Lineage: Bacteria; Bacillati; Bacillota; Bacilli; Lactobacillales; Lactobacillaceae
Description: bacterial SSU rRNA
Rfam family: Bacterial small subunit ribosomal RNA
Source: RNAcentral
ACUGAUCGGCCACAUUGGGACUGAGACACGGCCCAAACUCCUACGGGAGGCUGCAGUAGGGAUCUUCCACAAUGGGCGAAAGCCUGAUGGAGCAACGCCGCGUGUGUGAUGAAGGCUUUCGGGUCGUAAAGCACUGUUGUAUGGGAAGAAAAGUUAAGGUAGGGAAUGACCUUAGCCUGACGGUACCAUACCAGAAAGGGACGGCUAAAUACGUGCCAGCAGCCGCGGUAAUACGUAUGUCCCGAGCGUUAUCCGGAUUUAUUGGGCGUAAAGCGAGCGCAGACGGUUGGUUAAGUCUGAUGUGAAAGCCCGGAGCUCAACUCCGGAAAGGCAUUGGAAACUGGUUAACUUGAGUGCAGUAGAGGUAAGUGGAACUCCAUGUGUAGCGGUGGAAUGCGUAGAUAUAUGGAAGAACACCAGCGGCGAAGGCGGCUUACUGGACUGUAACUGACGUUGAGGCUCGAAAGUGUGGGUAGCAAACAGGAUUAGAUACCCUGGUAGUCCACACCGUAAACGAUGAACACUAGGUGUUAGGAGGUUUCCGCCUCUUAGUGCCGAAGCUAACGCAUUAAGUGUUCCGCCUGGGGAGUACGACCGCAAGGUUGAAACUCAAAGGAAUUGACGGGGACCCGCACAAGCGGUGGAGCAUGUGGUUUAAUUCGAAGCAACGCGAAGAACCUUACCAGGUCUUGACAUCCUUUGAAGCUUUUAGAAAUAGAAGUGUUCUCUUCGGAGACAAAGUGACAGGUGGUGCAUGGUCGUCGUCAGCUCGUGUCGUGAGAUGUUGGGUUAAGUCCCGCAACGAGCGCAACCCUUAUUGUUAGUUGCCAGCAUUCAGAUGGGCACUCUAGCGAGACUGCCGGUGACAAACCGGAGGAAGGCGGGGACGACGUCAGAUCAUCAUGCCCCUUAUGACCUGGGCUACACACGUGCUACAAUGGCGUAUACAACGAGUUGCCAACCUGCGAAGGUGAGCUAAUCUCUUAAAGUACGUCUCAGUUCGGACUGCAGUCUGCAACUCGACUGCACGAAGUCGGAAUCGCUAGUAAUCGCGGAUCAGCACGCCGCGGUGAAUACGUUCCCGGGUCUUGUACACACCGCCCGUCACACCAUGGAAGUUUGUAAUGCCCAAAGCCGGUGGCCUAACCGUAAGGAGGAACCGUCUAAGGCAG